GUGGGGACAAAAACAAGAAAAGGAGUCUCACAACUAGGAAUAAAAACCACAGAAUAUGAGCACACUUACAAGUUAUAAAAUGAAGUUCCAAGGGUACAACAAACAUAAGAAAUAAUAAUCAUGAAAGUAAAAACACAAGUUUAUGCAUCAGUCCAAACACACUGUCUCUGUGUGUGUGCAUGUGUAGAAAUUGAAGCACAUUUUUUAUAAGCUAUAGAACGAAGUUCCAAGUACACAACAAAAUCAGAAGAUGAGGCCUCCCUCUCUCCUCUCAGUCAUUUGCUCACUCCUCUUCACUCUCUCUCCACCUCACAUUUGAUCUCAACUCUGUUGACUAUCACUCUGGGUGCAUGUGCUCGUGACAAGUGAGAAAGAAAAUGAAGCUCUCAGAAGUCAGAAAGAAAGUGCAGCAGUCCUGUAAGAAUAACCUACCUCAUGCAUGCAUCACUUUCAUCAUGGUAAUAACUAGGAACCGCUGUUAUUUGCAUAUAGCAUAUUGCUAUGGUGAAAUCAAAUUGAAAAUAUUAAGUGAUAACUAAGGAAGAACCAUUUUUGAAAAUCAAUUAACAGUUUGGGACUUUGGCAGCAUCAAAAUAUAAGGGAAAUCAUAUUGGCUUCAUUGUUGCCAAAAAACAAUGAUAGGAAAUAUUGGAACUAUUUAGAACUGUGUAAAUAUUCAGGCAAAAAUAAAAAUAUGUCCAGGGGCUCUAAUAUAAU
RNAcentral lists this unclassified non-coding RNA (717 nucleotides) under Hevea brasiliensis (rubber tree). Lineage: Eukaryota; Viridiplantae; Streptophyta; Magnoliopsida; Malpighiales; Euphorbiaceae. The record is from RNAcentral.